UACCAGCACCCCGAGUGGUCGGGACGUUUAUUGGGCCUAAAGCAUCCGUAGCCGGUUCUACCAGUCUUCCGUUAAAUCCAGCUGCUUAACAGAUGGGCUGCGGAAGAUACUAUGGAGCUAGGAGGCGGGAGAGGCAAGCGGUACUCGAUGGGUAGGGGUAAAAUCCGUUGAUCCAUUGAAGACCACCAGUGGCGAAGGCGGCUUGCCAGAACGCGCUCGACGGUGAGGGAUGAAAGCUGGGGGAGCAAACCGG
RNAcentral lists this ribosomal RNA (253 nucleotides) under uncultured bacterium. Its description in RNAcentral is "partial 16S ribosomal RNA". It matches the Rfam family "Archaeal small subunit ribosomal RNA", at positions 474 to 727 of the family's 1478-position model. The record is from RNAcentral.